Molecule: ribosomal RNA, 759 nt
Filed under: uncultured cyanobacterium
Lineage: Bacteria; Bacillati; Cyanobacteriota
Description: bacterial SSU rRNA
Rfam family: Bacterial small subunit ribosomal RNA
Source: RNAcentral
GAUGAACGCUGGCGGUAUGCUUAACACAUGCAAGUCGAACGGACACUUUCGGGUGUUAGUGGCGGACGGGUGAGUAACGCGUGAGAAUCUGCCUUUAGGUUCGGGACAACCAUUGGAAACGAUGGCUAAUACCGGAUAUGCAGCAAUGUGAAAGAUAUAUUGCCUAAAGAUGAGCUCGCGUCUGAUUAGCUAGUUGGUGGGGUAAAGGCCUACCAAGGCGACGAUCAGUAACUGGUCUGAGAGGAUGAUCAGUCACACUGGAACUGAGACACGGUCCAGACUCCUACGGGAGGCAGCAGUGGGGAAUUUUCCGCAAUGGGCGAAAGCCUGACGGAGCAAUACCGCGUGAGGGAGGAAGGCUCUUGGGUUGUAAACCUCUUUUCUUAGGGAAGAACAAAAUGACGGUACCUAAGGAAUAAGCAUCGGCUAACUCCGUGCCAGCAGCCGCGGUAAUACGGAGGAUGCAAGCGUUAUCCGGAAUGAUUGGGCGUAAAGCGUCCGCAGGUGGUUUUGUAAGUCUAUUGUUAAAGCGUCUGGCUCAACCAGAUAAUGGCGGUGGAAACUACAAGACUAGAGUCCGUUCGGGGCAGAGGGAAUUCCUGGUGUAGCGGUGAAAUGCGUAGAGAUCAGGAAGAACACCGGUGGCGAAAGCGCUCUGCUAGGCCGGAACUGACACUGAGGGACGAAAGCUAGGGGAGCGAAUGGGAUUAGAUACCCCAGUAGUCCUAGCCGUAAACGAUGGAUACUAGGCGUGGCUUG